ACAGGUGUUGCAUGGCUGUCGUCAGCUCGUGUCGUGAGAUGUUCGGUUAAGUCCGCUAACGAGCGCAACCCUCGCCGUAUGUUACAAGUGUCAUACGGGACUGCCGGUAAAAAGCCGGAGGAAGGUGAGGAUGAUGUCAAGUCAGCAUGACCUUUAUAUCCAGGGCUACACACACGCUACAAUGGUCUGUACAAUUGGUUGCCAAGCCGCGAGGCGGAGCCAAUCCUGAAAGCAGGCCUCAGUUCAGAUUGCAGUCUGCAACUCGACUGCAUGAAGCCGGAGUUGCUAGUAACCGCAGGUCAGCAAUACUGCGGUGAAUACGUUCCCGGGUCUU
This 334-nucleotide ribosomal RNA is filed under the name uncultured Anaerolineaceae bacterium. Its description in RNAcentral is "bacterial SSU rRNA". It matches the Rfam family "Bacterial small subunit ribosomal RNA", at positions 1034 to 1382 of the family's 1533-position model. Lineage: Bacteria; Bacillati; Chloroflexota; Anaerolineae; Anaerolineales; Anaerolineaceae. The record is from RNAcentral.